ACUCCUACGGGAGGCAGCAGUGGGGAAUCUUAGACAAUGGGCGCAAGCCUGAUCUAGCCGAUGCCGCGUGAUUCGGAUGAAGGCCUUAGGUUGUAAAGAUCUUUCAGAAUGGGAAGAUAAUGACGGUACCCAUCAGUAAGAAGCCCCGGCUUAACUCCGUGCCAGCAGCCGCGGUAAUACGGAGGGGGCUAGCGUUAUUCGGAAUUACUGGGCGUAAAGCGCACGUAGGCGGAUCAGAAAGUCAGAGGUGAAAUCCCAGGGCUCAACCCUUGGGAACUGCCUUUGAAACUCCUGGUCUUGAGUUCGAGAGAGGUGAGUGGAAUUCCGAGUGUAGAGGUGAAAUUCGUAGAUAUUCGGAGGAACACCAGUGGCGAAGGCGGCUCACUGGCUCGAUACUGACGCUGAGGUGCGAAAGCGUGGGGAGCAAAACAGGAUUAGAUACCCUGGUAGCUACGAGU
This 458-nucleotide ribosomal RNA is filed under the name uncultured bacterium. RNAcentral's name for it is "bacterial SSU rRNA". It matches the Rfam family "Bacterial small subunit ribosomal RNA", at positions 335 to 802 of the family's 1533-position model. The record is from RNAcentral.